RNAcentral lists this ribosomal RNA (617 nucleotides) under uncultured fungus. RNAcentral's name for it is "eukaryotic LSU rRNA". The stretch from base 264 to 417 matches the Rfam family "5.8S ribosomal RNA". Lineage: Eukaryota; Fungi. The record is from RNAcentral.
GGAAGGAUCAUUAUCGAAUAAACUUGCACAGGCUGUUGCUGGCCCUCGAGAGGGGGUAUGUGCACGCUUGUCAUCUUUAUCAUUUCUCCCAACUUGUGCACAUACUUGUAGACCUGUUUAUAUUUUUUCGGAUUUUAAUAUUCGAGUUGGGGGAUUGCUGCGCUUCAGUGACAAGUCGGCUUUCCCUCGUAUUUUUCAGGUCUAUGUCAUUGUUUUCACAACCUCUAUAAAAUGUUUAGAAUGUUGAAUAAUAAGUUAUAAACAACUUUCAGCAACGGAUCUCUUGGCUCUCGCAUCGAUGAAGAACGCAGCGAAAUGCGAUAAGUAAUGUGAAUUGCAGAAUUCAGUGAAUCAUCGAAUCUUUGAACGCAUCUUGCGCCCCUUGGUAUUCCGAGGAGCAUGCCUGUUUGAGUGUCAUUUGACUUCUCUCAACCACAUCAGUCAUUGAUGUGGCUUGGAUGUGGGGGUUUGCAGGCUUUCCAGAAGUCCAGCUCCCCUGAAAUGCAUUAGUGGUAUCUGAGCUGCUAUUUGGUGUGAUAAUUUAUCUAUGCCUUUGGUAAUGCUGGUCAGCAACUGCUUAUAACAACUUCAUUUGACAAAUUUGACCUCAAAUCAGG